RNAcentral lists this transfer RNA (69 nucleotides) under Gudusia chapra (Indian river shad). RNAcentral describes it as "tRNA-Met". It matches the Rfam family "tRNA". Rfam says of the family: Transfer RNA (tRNA) molecules are approximately 80 nucleotides in length. Their secondary structure includes four short double-helical elements and three loops (D, anti-codon, and T loops). The record is from RNAcentral. Lineage: Eukaryota; Metazoa; Chordata; Actinopteri; Clupeiformes; Clupeidae.
AGUAGAGUCAGCUAAACAAGCUUUCGGGCCCAUACCCCGAACAUGUUGGUUAAAACCCUUCCUCUACUA